UUCUGGUUGCAAAUGUGUGUUUUUAUUGUUUUUCUUUGUAAUUAAAAUUGCGAAAAAAUUGCAAUGCAAAUAAAACCAACACUACAAUUGAGAAAUCAGUGUGAGUGCAAGCAUACAAAAACAAACAACUAUGAAAAGAUAAAUAAGCACAUAUACAUACAUAUUAUGUAUUGCGAGUAUGUAUGUAUGUGUGUAUAUAUUAAACGGCAGUGCCUUUGCCAAGAGGAGCAUACCAUGUGGAGGUUGCAAUUUGGGAACAUCUGAAGUAUAGAGAGCCAUUGUGAAAUACCAUUUAAUAGAAAUAUGGAACUAUAAAUGGACAGGUAAAUGUAUAAUUUACAAUUCUACUAAAAAUAAAUAUUGGC
This is a long non-coding RNA of Drosophila nasuta, 365 nucleotides long. RefSeq lists it as uncharacterized. The record is from RefSeq and is a predicted model, not a curated record. The transcript has 2 exons. Lineage: Eukaryota; Metazoa; Arthropoda; Insecta; Diptera; Drosophilidae.